RNAcentral lists this ribosomal RNA (496 nucleotides) under uncultured bacterium. Its description in RNAcentral is "partial 16S ribosomal RNA". It matches the Rfam family "Bacterial small subunit ribosomal RNA", at positions 28 to 507 of the family's 1533-position model. The record is from RNAcentral.
GAUGAACGCUGGCGGCGUGCCUAAUACAUGCAAGUCGAGCGAACAGACGAGGAGCUUGCUCCUCUGACGUUAGCGGCGGACGGGUGAGUAACACGUGGAUAACCUACCUAUAAGACUGGGAUAACUUCGGGAAACCGGAGCUAAUACCGGAUAAUAUAUUGAACCGCAUGGUUCAAUAGUGAAAGACGGUUUUGCUGUCACUUAUAGAUGGAUCCGCGCCGCAUUAGCUAGUUGGUAAGGUAACGGCUUACCAAGGCAACGAUGCGUAGCCGACCUGAGAGGGGGUUGGGCCCACUGGAACUGAGAAACGGUCCCAACUCCUACGGGAGGGAGCAGUAGGGAAUCUUCCGCAAUGGGCGAAAGCCUGACGGAGCAACGCCGCGUGAGUGAUGAAGGUCUUCGGAUCGUAAAACUCUGUUAUUAGGGAAGAACAAAUGUGUAAGUAACUAUGCACGUCUUGACGGUACCUAAUCAGAAAGCCACGGCUAACUACGUG